Molecule: non-coding RNA, 99 nt
Organism: Mycena metata
Lineage: Eukaryota; Fungi; Basidiomycota; Agaricomycetes; Agaricales; Mycenaceae
Source: the annotation of a GenBank genome assembly
GGUUCGAUGGUGUAGUUGGUUAUCACUUCUGUCUAACAGCGCUCGCGUUUGCGUAACCUGUCGCACAGGCGGUCCUCAGUUCGAACCUGGGUCGAAUCA